GUCCACGCCCUAAACGAUGUCGACUAGGUGUUGGGGAAGGAGACUUCCUUAGUACCGCAGCUAACGCGUGAAGUCGACCGCCUGGGGAGUACGGUCGCAAGAUUAAAACUCAAAGGAAUUGACGGGGACCCGCACAAGCGGUGGAUGAUGUGGAUUAAUUCGAUGCAACGCGAAAACCUUACCUACCCUUGACAUGUACGGAAGCUGGUCGAGAGGCCGGUGUGCCCGAAAGGGAGCCGUAACACAGGUGCUGCAUGGCUGUCGU
Molecule: ribosomal RNA, 265 nt
Filed under: uncultured bacterium
Lineage: Bacteria
Description: partial 16S ribosomal RNA
Rfam family: Bacterial small subunit ribosomal RNA
Source: RNAcentral